UUAUUAAAUUAGCAGCCGCUCUACCAUAAAUGGUUCCAUCAGACUCAACGCGUGCAUUAACCGGGGUUCUGUGCUCGUCAUGAGCACGUCUGUAAAUAUUGCACUGGUUGACUCUGUGUUGGCAUUCUCGCACACUCGAUCACUCGAUCCCUCCUCCUUCCACUGGUCGGAAGGCAGGGUGGGUCCGAACCGCCUCACAAUUCCAACGGAAUCAGGGCAUAUAAAGAUCAAAGCUCGCAGUCAAAUUAGGAUGGAGUAUUCCACUUCCUUGUUCUGGCUUCAGCCUCCUUUCCUUCCAGUCCUAGUGAUGGAUCGCAGGUCAAAAAUUCUAUUGUUUAUUUUUAAUUUGAUUUUAUUAUUUGGAGAUGCAACACCGUAACAGGCCCUUCUGGCCCACCGGGCCCUCGCUAGCCAAUACUCCCGUGUGGCCAGUUAACCUACACGUCUUAGUGUCACAGUGUGCUCUCGGAGGACUGGACCCAGGCCCGGAGGAACGGCAGGCUUUCUCUGUCACAAACCAACUCAACCCAGGAGCGGAGGAAUGGCAGGAUCCCCAGGAGGAGGCGGAAAUAAGAGGAAGUCCUGGGAGAUCCUGACCCUGCAGGCACAACUCCCUGACAGUUACUCUAACAGUACGUAUCCAGCAGGACGCUGAUGACCUAUAAGGAGAAGAACACAGUUGGAUGGUCCCGGCCAUUUUGUGCGUUGCUCUCAAGCGAGUUGUGAAAUAGUCCCCUUCAGAACCAGUGCGGUUGAAGUCUGUAGCCACAGCCACUUGCAGUAAGCAAUGGUGUUUAUUUAUUUAUUUGACAUGCCUGCACUGUGCUGCUGCCACAAAAAAACAAGUUUCUUGAAUUAUGUCAGUGACAAUAAACCUGAUUCUAAUGCUGAGCAUUGAAAUUCUAGAAAGUGCCGCCACAGAUUAGAAGAAUACAUUGGAUGUUUUAAAGAUGGAUUAAACCCUAGGGCUUGUUUUUGAUGUAUCCCAGGGUGCUAAGGGUGUCAAGGGAGGAGAUUGCUGAGGCCCUGACAGAAAUCUUUAAAUCUUCUCUGACCACAGGUAAAUUAGUUGUCAGAUGACCGGCAUUCAGCAAACACUGAAGCUUUAUUCCAGUAGGUAAACAAAAAUAAGCCAGGUAUUUACAAGCCAGUGAGGAUUUCAUCAACAGUAGGGAAGUUAUUGAAAACAAAUUCCUGAGGGACUGGGUUAAUCUAUACUUGGAAAGGUCGGGUUUACUCAAACGGGUUUGUUAGUUGGAGAUCCUGUUUGACAAAUUUGAUUGAAUUUUUUGAAAACAUAGCAAAAUAUAAGGAUGAGGACAGAACUAGAUGUAGUUUAGAUGGCCUUCAGCAAGGCCUUUGACAAGGUCCCACAUGGGAGACUAGUUCACAAAAUUAGAACCCAUGGGAUCUGAGAUAUGAUGGCAAAUUAAAUACAAAAUUGGGCUGCUAAAGGGAGGGCAUUGCUUGGGAUUGGAAGCCUAUGACUAAUGGUGUGCCACAGUCAUCAAUGCUGGGCCCUUAUUAUUUGUGAUAUACAUUAAUACUUUGGAGAUGAAUGCAGGAAAUAUGAUAAGUAAGCUUGCAAAUGACAUGAAUGUAUUUGGUGUUGAUAGUGAAGAGGAUAGUCUUAGGAGAAUAUUAAUCACUUGGCAAAUUUGGUAGAUGGAACUUAAUGUUAAUAAGAUGAAGAGAUCCUUAUGGGAGAACAUUUUUUCAGUCUUGUGUUUUUUUUGUAUUCUGUGUUUUUCGCCCAAUCUUUCUUGGUUUUUUGUGUGCAGGGUCGGGGGUUUUGGUGGUCCAUGUGCCUAUUCUGAUUUUAUUCCGUUUUUUGUGUGGGGAGGAGGGAUUUCGGGGUUGGUGAUCGUGCUGUUGUUCUUUUCUUUCCUGGUUUCAUAGCUAUCUGGAGAAGAAGAAUUUCAGAGUUGUAUUUUUUGAUAAUAAUUGAACCUUUGAACCGUUGAAGGUAAACAUAAGAGAAUACAGAUGCUGGAACACAGAAAUUGAGAAGUUCUGCAUGGGUGCAGGAAACAGAACCAUUGCAAACGAGUGAGAAUUGGUGAAAGAUUUGAGGAAUGGUGCCCAGCUAAGUUUGGAACAUAGACUGCCCCACAUUGCCAAAUGAAAAGGCCAAUGCAACUGAGGCCCUUGCAGGUGUCUAUGGCAACAGCUUGAUAUGGAGGAAGAUUUUUAGUUAAGUUGAUAACGUUGAUGAAUCCAUAUCUAAGAAGCUGAUAAAACUGACCAAUGAAUGGGGGGCCCGAAGAGGAAUGUUUGGUUAAUGCUAAUGGAAGGGGGGAAGCAAAAUAGUGGGCACUGUAUCUCCUGUGAUUGAAUGGGAAAAUGCCAUAGUUGGUGGAGAUGGAAGAGUGAAUUAGAAGUCACAAAAACAAUGUAAUUCCCUAUCCAAUUCCCACUCUGAUCACUGUGUGUGUGUGUCUGUGUGUGUGAGUGUGAGAGAGAGAGAGAGAGAGAGAGAGAGUGAGAGAGAGCUUCUACACUAUGUAACUCAUCUUCGGCCUAGGAAUGUUGCAGUCUUACAGACUAAAUAUUGAGUUCUCCAAGUAACUCACUUUCUCUAACUUCUGGUAAUUUCUCCUCCAUCCAUCCUUCUUUAUUUUUCCAUUUCCAUUCUAAUUGCUCUCUCACUCCUUCCCUUCUCCUCACCUGCCUAUUACCCCCCUCUGGUUGCCCUCCUCCUUCUCUUUUUUCCAUGGUCCACUGUCCACUGCUAUCAGGCUCCUUCUUCUUCAGCUCUUUAUCUCUUCUUCCUAUCCAUCCCCAGCUUCUUACUUUAAACCCCUACCCCACCCAUUCACCUGCCCUCUCACCUAUCAUCUGCCAGCCUGUAUCCUUCUCCCUCCUUAUUUUGGGUUCUUCCACCUUCUUUUCUAAUCCUGAUGAAGGAUCGCGGCCUGAAACGUCAACUGUUUAUUCCCCUCCGUAGAUAUUGCCUGAUUUGCUGAGUUCCUCCAGGACUUAGUGUGUGUUGCCCAAGAAUUCCAGCAGCUGCAGAAUCUCUGGUGUUUGCAUCAUGUUUCUUUGACUAUGUUACCUCCCUCUAACUGCACCCAUAAAGUCACUUGACUAGAGAAUUCAUCCCCACAGCAACCCAGGCCUCACCUAUCAUCAAUAUUUCCUCACCCUUCCCAAACCCUCUCAUCGCUUUCUCUUUAACUUAAAACUUCCUCCAUUUUUCUCUUUCCCAGUUCUGAUCAAGCGAAACAAUGAUUCUGUUUCUCUCUCCACAGAUGCUGCCUGACCUGCUGAGGUAUUUCCAGCAUUUUCUGUAUCUUUAUUUCAGAACUCCAGCAUCUGCAGACUUUUUUUUAAAUUUCAAGAACACUAUCCUGUCCAAUGCUGACUUUGUCAGUCCCACUGUUGUUUAGCAUCCCUUGUGCUGGACGACUGUAAAUCAUCUCUGUUGUGACUGUGAAAAAAGUCACCGGUGAGACACUGAAGCUGCUGAUGUAGAUGUCUUUAUUCAGCACAACAAGCAGGCAUCAUUCUGGAGACAAUCUCAAUAGAGGCCCACAAACCCAAAGGUACAUCACAUGUUUAUACCCUUAAGAUCAAAGGUAACAGCAGGUGAUUCAAUACAGUUUCAAUAGUUACAAUAACAUUGUUUACUUCAAUAUUUUGGGUUGACAAAUGUUUCCUUUGAGACACAUAGUAGAAUCACAUUGUGGUAUGAGCCCUGAAUUUGUUAAUUGUCAUCUUAUCUAGUGUCAUUAAGACCUUGUGCUUUUUGUGUAAUCUUAUCAGUUUAUUUUGACUGGCACGGGUUUUCAGCCUAUUGUGAUUUAAAAUGGACUCCCAAUUAGCACUCACUGUGGGGUCCUUGUGUAUGUUUCAAGAAUAAUUCCUCUCAUGGUAUUGCUUAGUUAAGCAACCAAAGUUCAAUUGUCGUUCUGACGAAUAAAUGUUUUUUUUCUGUCUCAGCAUGGGAAUUUGCUGUUCCUUCUAAGCUGGGUUUAGAUAGGACACCUUUGAAGCUCCAAAUGCCUUUGGGAGAAACAAAUUAGCAUGAAUAUUCUAAAACUUAUUGCCAACAAAGAGCCAGACACCCAACAUUAAUGUUGUCAGGGUGUUUCUGAGCACACAGGUAUGAUAAGUACACAAAAACUAUUGAUUGCCUAUACCUGUAACCAUGUUUGAAAUGCUAAGUCACAACUUCCAUCUGGUCUGCCAGCUUGCAUUCAAGCCACCAUGGUGCAAAUAAAUUAGCAAUGUUGCCUUGUUUGAUGCAUGCCAAUUAACACAAGCCCAUUGUCUUAAUAUUUGCCUCUUGCAUAUGCAGUCUCUUAGUCUGUGGAGCAGCCUGUGGUUUUAACUACAAUUUAGUGCUUGCAAUUUACAAAAAAAAUGAAUGAUAAUUGCAAGCUUCCUGAAUAUUUUUACAUUUACAAUAAGAAUUGAAGUCAGAACUUCAAUAAAAAAAUUACAAAAAGAAGAAUUGAAGGCUUUUUCUUGUUUGAAUUAAUGUCUGCUAUAUUCACAUAACACCAGAAUACUCCCUAACAGUCUCCACUUCUCUCUGUUGUGUGCAGUUCCAGUAGCUCCAUUGUAGGAAGAAAUGGGGGUGGGGGGGCUUUGGCGAGGACCGAGAAGGGGUUUGCCAUGAUGCUGCUUGGAUUAGACAGGUAUAUAGAGGAAUUUAAAGUGGAAGGCUAUAUGGGAAGCAGGGUUUAAGGGUCGGCACAACAUUGUGGGCUGAAGGGCCUGUACUGAGCUGUAUUGUUCUAUGUUCUAUUAGGGAGCAUGAUCUACAAGGAGAUGUUAACCAAACUUUGUUUUUUUUUCUCUCUAGAGUGGCGGAGGCUGUGGGGAGACCUGACAUAAGUUUUCUAACAUUUAUGACAGGCAUAAAUAGGGCAGACAGUCCAGAUCUUUUUCCCAGCAUAGAAAUGUCUAAUACUAGAGAACUUGCAUCACACCUGAGAGGGGGGAAGUUUAAGGGACAUCUAUAGGACAAGGUAAGUAAAUAUACUCUGAUACUAAAUUUACUUUGAUCUUUAUUAUUGUCACAUGUAACACGAGGCAAUGAAACAAUUCUGCUUGCAUGCCAUCCAGACAGAACAGUCUAUACAUAGAACAUAGAACAGGUACUUCAACUUCCGACAUCUUGCCAAGUUGAUUAAAUUAGUAAUGAACCUCUAAACCCAUCUCCUCUGCCUACAAAAUGUCCAUCUCCCUCCAUUCUCUGAACAUUCAUUUGCUUAUUUAAGAGCUCCUUAAAAGCUUCCACCUCCACUCAAAGGCAUUCCAGGCUCCCCACUGUCUUUGGAAAAAAACUUGCUCCACACAUUUCAUUUGAACUUAACCCUUCUCACGUUAAAUGCAUGCCUUCUAGUAUUAGACAUUUCAACCCUCGGAAACAGAUACCAUCUGUCUACUCUAUGCCUCUUAUAAAUGUGCAUAGGAACAUUAAGGUAUGUGAAAAGGAAAAAUAAAACAACAUUCAUAACAUUUUCCUACAACUUCUUCUGACAGCAUCUCUGGCGGUGCACUUUCAUCCACAUAUUGCGUCAGUGCUGAGGCGUAACAUAUGGAUUAAAGUCCUGUUGUUUUCUGCCAUGUCAAUUCAAAUCAAUUCGUUUCACGGAUCAUUUAAUCUGACAGUGGUGGAUGGGAGUUUUGUUAUUUUCCUUGCUUUUUUUUCAGUAAAGUUGAUUUGUUUCUAUGGUUAUCAUUUAUUCGUAAACGGGUACAGAGCUGAAGCAAAUGCAGUUCACAAGUUAUCCGAUCUGACAAGUGUGGAGCACUUAGGAAUGCCCUACACCUGCUGUCCUUCCACAUUAGCACAAAAUACUGCAGAUGUUCAAAAGCUGAAAAAAUGAUGGAUAUGCUCAAAAGGUCAGGCGGCAUCUGUGAAGAGAGCUAGGGAAUUGGGCUUUCAGUUGAGCUGGGAAAAGUGGUAAAUAUACUGGUUUUAAAGAAGGGGAUAAGUGAAGUAACCAAACAAACCAACACUUUCACCAACUCUGUUGGAUGUUUAAUUCUGAAUAUCUGGAUGUAUAACUGUCCUCAUUUCUUCCAAAGUACCUCCCAAACUCUACAAGUUACAAGGACAAUGAGAGUGUGGGAACACCAACAACUCCGGGUGUCUGCCCAAGUCAUAUAACAACUCAUCUUGGUGUUCCAUUAUUGCUACAGAGUCAAAUUCCCAAUGGGAACACCUUCUACAGCAAUCCAUAGAGGUGGUUCAACAAAGCUUCCACGAGGGUGAUGGUGAUGAGCAAGUUCUGCGCUUCCCUCUGAUGUUCACAUCCCACAAAUACACCAGAGAUUCAUAUGGGAACAUGGGCACCCAAAGGGAAUCUUGCUAGAUUAGUCAACCUUUCCUUGCCAGUCCUCCUUAUAUUCUCAAUCGCUGCAAGAUGUGAAAAAUCAAAACCCUACAGACACAGCAAAUUUGGAAUGAAAGUUCAAAAUAAAAUUAUCAAAGAACAUAUAUUGGUCAUAUACAACUCUGACAUUCACUUUGCAGUGGGUGUACUCAAAAAAAUCUAUAGAAUAAUAACUAUAACAGAAUCAUUGAAAGACUGCCCAACUUGGGCUUUCAACCAGAGGGCAGGAGACAACACAUUGUGCAACACACAGAAGAAAGAAAUAAAAAUAAUAAAUAGAUAAGCAAUAAAUAUUGAGAUCAUGAGAUGAAGAGUCCUUUAAAGUGAGUCCAUGGCUAAUAGGAACAUUUCAAUGAUGGGGCAAGUGAGGCUGAGUGAAGUUAUUCUCUUUGGCUCACGAGCCUGAGGGUUGAGGGUAGAAACUGAUCCUGAACCUGGUGGUGUGAGUCUGGAGGCUCCUUUACCUUCCUCCUGAUGGUAACAGCAAGAAGAGAGUAUGCCUUGGGUAAUGGGAGUCCCUGACGAUGGAAGUUGCUUUCCUGCAACAUAAUUUCAUGUAGAUGUGCUCAAUGGUUGCGAGGGUUUUAUCUGUGAUGGAUGAGCUGAAUCCACAACCUACCAUAGGAUUAUCUGUUCGAGGGCAUUGGUGUUUCCAUACAAGGCUGUGGUGUAGUUGGUCAACAUACUUUCCACUACACAUCUAUAGACGUUUGUCCAAGUUUUAGAUGUCAUGCUGAAUCUCUGCAAACUCCUAAGGAUGCAGAGGCACUGUCAUGCUUUCUUUGUAAUUGCACUAAUGUCCUGGGCCUAGGACAUGUCCUCCAAGAUAAUAACAACGAGGAAUUUAAAGUUGCUGACCCUCUCCACCUCUGAUCCUCUGAUGAGAAAUGCCUUAUGGACCUCUGGUUUCUUUCUCCUGGAAGUCAGUGAUCAGCUCCUUGGUCUUUCUGAUCUUGUGGAAGAGGUUGUUAUGGCACCACUCAGCAAAGAGUGCUGGAAAUACUCAGCAGGUCAGUCAGCAUCUGUGGAAAGAGAACCAGAUUUAACUUUUGAUGAAAAAUCAGAACUGCUACAGGUGUGACUUUUUUAACUAGUUGGAGACAAGUUGUGAGAAAUCUAUUUUUUGGGUGUAGACUUUUGGAGAUUAGUGUUUCCCAACCUUUUUUUUAGCUCGGCCCGAAACAUUGACUGUUCGUUUCCACGGAUGCUGCCCAACCUACUGAGUUCCUCCAGCGUGUUUGUACGUGUUGAUUUGACCACAGCAUCUGCAGUGUACUUUGUGUUUACUUAUUUUUAGCCCAAUGCCCUCCAAAGCACCUUCAUACUUGCCAUCUCCCCUCUUAGGCACAAAUACGUCCCAGCGCCCCUAUAGUAUUAAAAUAUGUCUACCAUAUGCUAACAUAAGAUAAACAAUUCCACUUUAAAUUUUUAUUUGUCUUUAAACCUAGCUUGCAUAGUACCUGUACAAUGGCUUCGAUAUCAAUGUGAUCCUUGAGCUUGAUGGUUUUUAGCAAAAGAUGAAAUAUCUAGUUUAAGUUAUAGCAGUAAAAGCCUUUAGUCCUCAUGCAUAACAAUGUCCAAGCGGAUUCUGUCUUUUGUGAGUAUAUGGUUCACUGCCUCGUUCAACAAGGUAGGAGGAUGAAAAUGCAAUGAAGAACAGUUUGGAUCUUCUCCAAGGACCAAGAAGCUUUGUAUGACAGAAUAGCCACAUUACACAAAAGCCGAAAAGCAUUUUUACUUCUUCAUCAUUCUGAAUUUUGAUCAUUUCUUCUUGUAAGCUCUCUUCCUGUUCUUCCACUUUGCAAGUAAAUGGAUUAAUUACCCAAUAUGAAAUUUCUAAAUCGUUCGAAUCCUUGAAUUGAUUCUGAAAAUCCUUCUUCAGUGACUGCAGGUGUAAGCAGUACCCUUGCAAAUCACCAUCUGUGAAAGAAAGUGCCAUACAUUCCAUGCAGGAAAACUGUGAAAACGUUCUUCGCCCAAUGUUUUGCUUAUAUACUUACAAUUUUCUGAUAAAAGUGGACACUGUGGCGACCCACUUUCUGCGCAGGCGAGCCGGCUCACAAAUAGCCUGCGCGCGGGGAGAGACUUUGGUAAUGCACCUCUGACGUCAUUUCCACCCGGAGAGGGUGGGAGCUAGGGAUUAAAAGCCAGCGCCGCGAAGUUUGAAUAAACUAGUCUCGAAAUGAUUUACCGACUGCGUGUCGUUGUUUCAAGCUCUGUAUGUAGUACAUCGCUACAACACUGCACUUUUUGCCUGGAUUAAAUUGAAAUCCUCAACCUAUAGCUUCACAUUUGGAAAGUUCAUUUUGUCGUACAGAUCGGCUCGGUAUGCCACAUCUCCACAUUGAUGUUCAUUCUUGUUUCCCAAGCUCUCGUCUACUUUGAGCAAACGUUCAACCGGUGUCAAAAAGAUCAAAGAAACAUUUUAAGCAGCAUGAACUCGUUCCAUGCUGUGGGUUAAGGAGAAAUGGUGGUCACCCUGGUUGCUAAUUUAUGCAUCCCCAAAAAUGUUUGUUUGGUUUGUAAGGUCAGAUGAGAUUGCCGAGUGCUCACCGCCCGCAGGGCUAUGGUUCUUCCCGUGUUCCAGUGCCUCAUCUCUUUUUUUGGAAGUGCCUGCUCUAUGAACAAUCGAUCAGGUCUCACACCUCAAGUUAGGAUGCCGCUUACCACCCCUUCCAAGAAACUUGCAAACCCCCCACCCCGAAAUGACUGCUAUUUCCCCUAAUGCCCCCUUAUGACACGUAACCAGCCCCUUGGGAAUCACAGGUCUAAACCCACCAAAUUUCUUUCAUUUAAUAUGUACAGCCGAUGAGCAAAAUUGAAUUCAGCCAAUCUUGGUGGGCUCACAUCCAGUUUACAGAUAGAACAUUACCCAAUAUUUUAAGCUUCUCCUAGUCCCUUCCACAAGUUUGUCCUGCAUAGGAGUGAAGCUUUGACAUCCACGAAUCCACGAAGUUUGAUUUCCAUAUCCAGAAUCUGCCUUUUCAAGUUUGUUCAUCUGUUGAACUCAUCAGAGGGAAAACUGAGGUGUGAGAUUCCUUUCUUCAUAACUUGGCUAUUAUUGAGCUUCUCUCAAUUGUCACGCAGUAACAGGGAAUGUGAAGCCUUCCAUAACCACACUUAAGGAAACCAAAUAGUUUCAGUGAAGCUUUGUAGGUUCCUGGUCAUGCCUCGGGAAGGUAGUUGGUCCAAAUGAGGGCACGCACACUUUGGAAAGGAAGUGAAAGCCUUGCCGAUUCUCCAGCACACUAGGCACAAGUUGUCAAAGUCUUGCGGAGAGAGGGAGGAUUGGGCUGCACCGUGCCGCAGCUACUGGAACCACCGCCUCACAGUCCCUCUGACGAGCGUUCAAGCCCAGCCUCCAGCGUUGUGAGUGUAGAACUACCCCUGUGAAUGUGUCAGGUGCUCCAGUUUGUUCUCACAUCCCAGAAGUGUGUAGGUCAGCAGAUGAAGUGGCCACUGUGAGUCAGAAUGUGAGCUGGGUUGAUGGGAAGUUGGGGGGGGGGAGCAGAAAAUAGGACUGGUGCAAGAUCAGUGUGAACGAGUGCUUGUUGGUCAGUACAGACUGAAUGGGCCAAAAGGCCUGGUUCCUUGCAGUAUGACCCUAUGACAUUUGUAUUUGGGAAGAUCUGAUCACAGGCUGGAAGGCUAACACAAUCUGAAAUCCUAGACCUCAGCUUAAAGUUUGGAACCUCAGAUAAUGUACCAUUCCUCCAGGGCAGUGCGGACCUCUAUCGAGUCCAAGUGCAAGGCUUACUUGCUUGCUUCUUUUCUUUAACUGUUUCCAUGAUAUGUUCUUUCUUUUUCACACAUUGGAUGUAUGACUGUCUUUCGGGUUUUCUCGUGAAUUCUAUUGUGUUUCUUUGCUUUGUG
Molecule: long non-coding RNA, 10223 nt
Organism: Hypanus sabinus (Atlantic stingray)
Lineage: Eukaryota; Metazoa; Chordata; Chondrichthyes; Myliobatiformes; Dasyatidae
Exons: 3
Source: RefSeq, a predicted model, not a curated record